Molecule: non-coding RNA, 460 nt
Organism: Labrus bergylta (ballan wrasse)
Lineage: Eukaryota; Metazoa; Chordata; Actinopteri; Labriformes; Labridae
Source: RefSeq, a predicted model, not a curated record
CCAGGAAGGAGAGCACGUCAGCCAGAUUUGUGGGCUGCAUAUCCAUGAGACGACUAUCCCGUUCCACCACACCCCGAGGUGCUCUUUAGGAUUGAUAUCUGGUCUGCCUGACACUGAUGGAGCACUGUGCAGUUUCUGCUAUAAUUCAACAAAGCACAGAUGGAGGAGAUUUCAUAUACUGCCUUCUCAAACACAGUGGGAAUUAUAUUUCCUGCUCAGUCGGCGGAGGUGCUGACUCCUAAGCUCAUUACAGACCACCAGAGAGUCCUGUGGCCUCCAUCUCGCGAGGAGGAGGAGAAGGAGGAGAAAGGGUCCAUGACCCAGACUUGAAUGAAGGCUCUGAGGUGGAAGAGCUAUCUCUGUGAGAGUCCCGCUGGGCACACUGUCUACUGCCUGACAGCUUCACACAGCUAACCCUGCAUUUCUACUGCACUGUGCUCAUGUAGGACUUGCUAUAAUG